Molecule: long non-coding RNA, 746 nt
Organism: Catharus ustulatus (Swainson's thrush)
Lineage: Eukaryota; Metazoa; Chordata; Aves; Passeriformes; Turdidae
Exons: 3
Source: RefSeq, a predicted model, not a curated record
GAAGACCCCAAAGAGAGCCCCGAAGAGUCAGAGGAUGCUGAAGAAAACCCCGAGGAGUCUGAGGAUCCCAAAGAGAGCCCUGAAGAAUCCGAGGAUCCCGAAGAGAAUCCCGAAGAGUCCGAGGAUGCUGAAGAGGAGCCCGAGGAGUCCGAGGAUCCCAAAGAAAACCCCGAGGAGUCCGAGGAUGCUGAAGAGAGCCCCGAAGAAUCCGAAGACCCCAAAGAAAGCCCGGAGGAGUCCAACGACCCCAAAGAAAACCCUGAAGAGUCAGAGGAUGCUGAAGAAAACCCCGAGGAGUCCGAGGACCCCAAAGAGAACCCUGAAGAAUCCGAAGACCCCAAAGAAAACCCCGAGGAGUCCGAGGAUGCUGAAGAAAAUCCCGAGGAGUCUGAGGGUCCCGAGGAGGAGCCCGAGGAGCCCACCCUGGAUCCCACCCUCCUCGCGGAGCUGGCGACCCGGCUGCAAGAGGCCGCAGCCCAGAAGAACUCGGGGCUCCUGUCGCGCCUCACGGACGCGCUGGACUGGCUGAUCACAAAGCUCAGCAACUUCGUCUUCGGGUGAGCGCUGAGAGCGUCCCGAAUAAACCAAUCCCAAAUGGAGCGACCCCAAAUGGAGCGACCCCAAAUGGACCCGUCCCGAAUGGAGCUGAUUCUGAUUAAGCUGACCCCAAAUAAACUGACCCCAAAUAAUCUGACCCCAAAUGGAUCAAUCCCAAAUUAAGCUGACCCUGAAUAAACUGAUCCCAA